UGUAAACCUGAAAUAGAAUAUUAUUUUCUGCUCCAGCAUCUCCUUUAACCUGGAAAGAGAAUAUUUGUACUUUGGGGGAUUUGGACCCCCUAGCUGUUUCUGCUGUUUCUGCUAUUUCUGCUGUUUCAGCUAUGAAAAGAGAAAUUAAAAAUGUACUCUUCUGAAUUUUUCUCAUAGAAAUGAACGGAUAAUGCAUGCUGUUGUAUGGAGGAAUAAGUGUAGAAAUGAAAAGGUUAGGUAUGUGGACUAUUUUUUUUAACAUUUAGAAUAGCCUAGAGAUCAGAAAUUAGGUCAUUAACAUAACAUGACUCCUUUAGCUUUUCUAAUUAAGAUCAUAGGCAUAUGUUUGUUUUCUUAGCAGUAUAUACUUGUGGUCUUAUCAGCACAGGCAUACAGAUUUAUGCUCCUGUUAGACUUGGUAUGCUCAGUUUAGAAAAUAAUCAGUACUGCACCUUAUGGUCAUACUCAGAUGGAAUUUAAAUUUAUUUAUGAGGGAGUAACUGUUGAAUUAAUUUGGUGUAAAGUUGUGUGUUUAUUUUUAAAUGAGGACAUAUAAAAAUUAUUUGGGCACAUUGUUAUUCUUAUGUGUAGAGACUGAUGCACAUGGCUCCAGAGAAUAUUGAGAGUGAGUAAUGUUUGUCACAAGGCUUAGUUUCAUUUCACUGUUUUGUUUUAAGUUAUUGUAUUUGUUUUGCUUGGUAGACCUCUGUGAUUGUGUAUGUUUCGCUAGUUUCAUCUAGAAACAAAUGUUUACUUUUUCACUUGUGACAAAUUUGGACAGGUAUAGUGGAUUAGAGAAAUAGAAAUCCUGGUUAUUGUUUACUAAAGUAACUGUGUUCAAAUGCAAAUUUAUACAGAAUGUAGCACCUUGGGCUUUUUUUACAGAAAUUACUUGCUAAUUUCUCUUAUUCCCAAACUGUGGAGGUCUUUUAGUUAAGAGUCAAUGAUAAGAACAAAAUCCAUAAUUAGGACGUUUUCUCAGCAUGAAAGAACUGUCUUCCUGAAAUCAGGAAAAAUACUUUGGUGUGUACAGCAUCCAUGGAGUUGAAGAUGACACUCAUGCUUAUUUUUGAGUCUCUGUAUAGAAAGUUGUAGAGUUAGGCUACUGUAGCAGAAGGAAAAAUACAACUGACUGAUUACAAAACUGUGAAACUUGAGAAAUACAGGGUUAUGUCUUAUGCACAUAGGAAGCCUCACUGGUUUGUGGAUAGAAAUAUGAAUUCUAAUCUUUGUGUGUUAUCAUUUCAAUAAGUUUUCUAAUUAGUGAAGAGUGGAACUGUGAAAGUGUCAUAUUCAGCACCAGGGUUUAAUGAAGUGUUCAGAUUAAAGACACUGCUCACUUAGGUUCCAAACCUAGGUUUUCCCUCUGCUACCUUUGAUAUGUAUCGCAAGCACAUGAGCUACUAAUAGAGCUUCAGUAUUAUGUUGUUGUGAGUUUACUUUUAUGGUAAAAUGCAUUUUAAAAGGACUGUAAUGCUAAAUGUCAGAUUGGGAGAUUUUUGUGAUGGAAUAACAGAGUUGGACAAACAACGUCCAAAGCUUUGUCAUUUAAGUGUUCUGGAUAUCUUCUUUUAAAAAUAAAACAGUCAUGGAGAAAGAAGAAAUGUGGGGUAGAUAAAUGAAAAAGAGGAGAGAUCUCCACAUUUACAGUAAAGGCUGGACUCUGUGCAUGCUUUGUGUGUACUGUUGUGCACCAGUGCUUCCUUAGUAAAGUGCAGGUACAGAAUUACUCUGGUCGCCCCUUGCAAGCCUUUCAUGUUUGGGAUAUCUCUAACAGAACAGUUGUUAAUCAGUUACCAGUGGUGCCAGGCUGCUGGACCUGGUGUACCAAGUACAGAAUUUUGUAAUAUUGGAGUUGGCGAGAAAAGAGGAGAAAUUGUGUGCUCUGGCCAAGGUUGAAUCAAUAUUAGGUCAUCCUUCACUGGUGGUGGCACUGGUAACAGUUAUAUAAUCUGUGACCUUUCUUGUUUUGUCAGUGACUAAAGCAGACCCUUGACUGGAACCAUCCAGAGAGUUCUGAAUGAUGUUGCCAUCUCCACUGGCUCAAUGGAAAAAAACAUGCUCUGGUUCUCUCUGGUUGUUCCUAUUUUGUGCUUUUUUCCUCUCCAUCCCCAUUAUCUUCUUAUUUGCUUCUCUUUUUGUUUUCUCUCCAGUAAGCAUUUAAUGUAGCUGGCCAAAACUCAAGGUUUUGUUACAUGUUUGGUUUUUUCAGAAUAUUAGUAAUAAAAAUUUGUCAGAUUUUGGAUUGGCUAAUAACUCUUCAUUCAGGUUGUCUGCUUUUGAGGCAGGUCUGUGAGAAAGUCCUCACCAGACAUAAACAUCAUUUUCUGUCUUUGCUCCUCAUUUUGUGUUGUUUCUUCCUUGUUUAGGAAAAAACUUUCAGGCUAACUUUUUUUCAGGCCAGUUUUAUUGUGUUCAGUAUUGCUUUCAAUGUGGUACAGCCUUUCCCUUUCAUAAAGGGAGUAAGGAGUUUAGGCAAAUUUCUCUUCAGAUACAUUGUUCUUCCUUUCUUCCUCUGUGUAAAGAUUAAAACAUAUUCAAUGAUAGCUGCGGCCAUAACCUACACAUUAAAGCAGACAAAUGUUUCUGAGUGUGUGACUCAGACCUUGAUGCCCAGGUAACCCUGUAGUGAGGAAGAUUGCAGCCUUGCCUUUGUGUCUGAGACUCCUUCCUUGGUUGGAAUGGCUCUGAGCGUGGACAUUGUGUCUGAAUGUAUCACUUGGAAGCAAGCUUUCUUCUGAGAUGGUGAGGCCCUUAUCUACAUGACAACUGCAACCAAAGAGGUUGCCUGGGCAGAUCUGAAGUUCAGUGAUAUGCAUGUUUUGUAAAAAUUAUCUUUGAGAAAUGUGACAAAAUACCUAGGGUGUCACUAUAUGUUGGUCAGACUGUUUUAGAAAUGUAUAGGCUGUCUGUUUCCCAACUGAAGUCAUUUGCCUCUUUCUUAUUUUAUGAGGUACCUUCUCAUGACUUUCCUCUAACUGUUCAUUAAUAGCAUGCAAGUUGCAAGGUUCUUGGUGAUGGUGGCUCUGUUCAUGCUUUGGAAUUAGUGGGAAACUUUCUUAUAGAGGUGCUUGCAGGAGGAGGAGGACUGACACUAGGUUUCCUAGGAGUUAUCAUCAAGUUCCCCUAAUUGUCUAAAUUGAAGUUGCUUGGUUUUUUGUUUGUGAUCUGACUUCUGUCCAGAAUUGCACCUUAUUGGGCACUUAUCUUCAAAACAUAGAUUAAAGGCAGUACCUUCUCCUGGGAGCCUUAGUUAGAGAAACACUGUGCUUCCAUUAAAGCACUCCGGAUUCAGAGUAACAUUGAUUUUCAUCUUUCUCACCUCUAAGACUGUCCUAACAUUGAGUUUAUCCAUAGAAACUAGGAGAUCUCCUCCCUGUUUGCCAUUGGUAGCUGUUCUUUUUGACUUUAUAUGGCUAGGAUGAUGAGCUUAAUCUCGUGAACAUGAUCAGUGAAAUCACCUCAUUUCAUUUUUGUAGUCUAACUGUGCUUUACCUUUUAAACUUAGAGGAAGAAAGUCCUUGCUUCCCCCCCACCAUUUUUUAGUGUAUGGCAUGGAACAAAAAUAGGUGGCUGAAAUCUCUGUGAUACAGUGGACUCUUGUACUUGAAAUGUAACUUGCUUGCUGUAGUAUUCUUUCUUUUGAAUGGGAAGUAGAAACACUGAAAGUAAAAGCACCUAAAGGAAGAGCUGAAGUCAUACAUGUAUAGUUGGGAAAUGAUACUUACUUGCAUAAGAAAUGGGCAUUAAUUUGGAGAAUUAUGUGUUUUUAUAUAUCGGGGUAAGAAGUCUUGUGUACUCAGUGUUUCUUGAUUUGGAGUUUACUUAUCCAAAUACAGUUGAAAGACUUCCAUCUUCACCCACGCUCCAUGUCUGUGCUUCAUAUUUAGCAGCACAGAGCAUACCCAUUACAGCAUGUUUUCGUUUGCUUUUCUACGUUUAUAUUUGUCGCCUUUUCCAGUCGUGCAGGAAAACUUUCCGUGUUAUUUACCUUAAAAAUUACUGAUUGUGAAUUUCACGAGGACCAGCUUAGUUCUGGGAUAACCUUUAGUUGGUCUGCUGGCUUUGUUAAUUGGACAGUAACAGAGUAUGUGAUCAUCAGGCCGUGUUUUGGAGAGUCUAGCAUACAAAAUUCUGAUAUACACACAGAAUUCCACCUUCAUUGUUGAUUUAGCCAUAGCUGUCUGGAAUUUUUUGUAGGUAAGCAAGAGUAGAUUCUGUUGUCUGCAAUUUGUGAGAUUCUUAUGCAACAAGCGGGCAUGGUAACUAAAAAUGAGAAUAAAUUUUAGUUCUUGUUAGAUAUUUAUAAUGUCUUGAAGUGUGAAUUAAGGAAAAGAAAUCAUUUACAUUCUGUUCAUAUAUGUAGAUGCACUAUGCAACUCUCCCCCUCUUGCACAGACAUGGCCUUAUAAUUUGUAGUGUUGUGUAUGACAGAAUUCUUGAAAGUUUAACAGAAUGCCUGGAAAAGGUCUCCUUGAAGAACUGGAGGGUAAUAACCAUAAGGGAAAAGAGCAGGUAGCAGCCUUUCUCCUGUGGGGUGUUUUUAAUUAAUAAAAAAAGAACAUAGCCUUUGGCUGUUUUAUCACAAAACAAAUGAAAAAAUAAUUUAAAAUUUAAAAAGAACAGUAAUUGCAUAAAAAGUGCUUGGGAAAAAUAGAUCUAAUUAGGCAGUUAUUUUAGAAAAUUUCAUUUUGCAAGUAAGAGACUUGUAUGUGAUGUUUUGUUUACUUGUUUUGUUUCAAACUAAUUUACUGAGGCCUAUUUUAUGCCUAACUUGUCAAGUGGAAAAAAAUUAGCAUAAACCUUUAAGAAUAAUCUUCUGUAUAAAUUUUGCAAUAUGCUGCAAAACAGGGCUCUAUCCUACAGUUACAAUGCGGGUGAAUGAUGUAAGGAAUGAAAUGCAUUGUCUGUUCCCUAUGCUAUGAAAUGAGCAACAAGACUUCCACUGUCUGAUUUGAAUGGUUGGGGAAUAGCUAUGUAUAGCAAAACCUAUUUUUGAGCAGUAAAAUGUUUUUUGAUAUAUACCAUGACCUGCAAGAACUGAUUCAACAUUAAUUUAGCUUUAUAUAUAUUAGGUAGAACAGUAAUCUUAAUAAUUACAUACGGAUUCUGACAUUUCAUUGUGUAUUCAGCAUACAGAUUGUAUUAAGUAGAUCUAUAAAAUAAGUAAAUAUAUUAAGAAUUGCAUAUGCACUUACAAUCACAAGUAUAGAAAUACAUAUUUUUAUUUCUUCCUUUUCUAAUUCAAUUAUAUCACUUACUCAAGUGAAGAACGUGAAGAAGCAGAAUACACUUGGGAUUUGAACUAUAAAAUUUUUGUGUGCUUUUAGUACUUACUAUGUGGUUAUGAAAUUGUUAGUUUUCUUCAUUGUCCUGUAUAUUAUAGGGAAUUAAUGUGGAAUAUUUUUCCUUAAAAAAAAAAUCUUUUAUGCAUGUAUUUUGUUGGUUUUUCUGGCUAUUGUAUGUGACUUUUGAGAUCUAAAAGUGGGAAGUAGGAAUUAAAGUAUAUGUUAAAUUAUAUGGUGUAGUUUUAUUUGGGUUUGUGAUUUUUGUGGGGUUUUUUCCAUGUAUUAUAGUUUGGAAUGUUUGGGAGGUGGGAUUACAGGUGCUUUUCUUUUUUUUAAGAUGUAUGCUGGAAGGGAUUUAAAUGCAUACUGAAAUCUAGGAAGUAAGUUGUUUAUUCAGAAUCAUUUUAUGGGAAGUUGUAUGGAUGAAAAAUAAAACACAUUCUUUGGGAAUUAAAAUGAAUUGCAGUAUAGUGUCUUGCAGAUCUGACUCAGAAUGGAAAGGCUUCUAGAACCUCUACAAAUGAUGCUUGUCCUUAAAAAAAAAAGAAAUUCCCUUUAUUCUUGUCAAGCUGCUUUUGGUGCCAUGAGAUGGGCCACUUAGGAAGGAAUUGAUAGCAAGACCUGAGGUGAAGUCUGUAAAGUCUUAAUCCAGUAAUUCUAGAAGAAACAUUGAAUAUGGUACUAGUUAGAAAUUCUGCAAACCAACACACUUCUACACUGCUGUUUCUUACCCCUUCUUAAACAAGUUCUCAUGGGAUCAGGAAGACAAAUCAGACUGCCAAAGAGAUGUUGUUGAGUAGGUAUGUAUCCUUCUACCAGGUACUCACAAAUCCUGUCCUGGGAAAGUGUCAGUGGCAGUAAGUUUCUGGAAGAAGAUUUCCAGGUGUUCAAGCAGAUAUGACACAGUUUCCUACUGACAUGACUCUUUCAUAUGAUAUAGAGUGGUGGCAUAGCAGUGUAAAUGGUGAGAAACCAAAGGCUUACUAUGGAUUCCCUGUUAGAAACCUCACCUUGGAAAAAAACUGGGAGAAAGCAGCAAGAUGCCUAAAGAAUGUGCUCUGUUCCACAGUAGGAAGGAAUUAGUUUGCUGCUGCCGGAACAGACUGAAUCAACUUGGCAAGGGACCUCAGGAGUGCCAGCUUGAGGGAGGAGCUGGAUUGUACAGUCUGUAUACCAAGUACUUAAAACAUCUGCAUGCAAGAUCAUCAUGUAAUUUUGUGUCUGCCCUGCAUAUCUUCUUGCUGAUGUGAACCGAGUCAUUACCUUUUUCCUGAGUGGGCUGUUAUCCAUGUGAUUGAUGGAGGUAACUGGACCAGCCAGUCAAAGGCAUCAGCUGUUUAGCUUGUGUUUCCUAUGGAAGAGGCUUUUGCAAGUGGGAACUGUUACCUUAUUUUUGAGCUCUUUGGUUAUUUUCAAUCAAGUUUGAUAGAGGAAUAGCAGUAUUGAAAAUUGUAUCCAGAAGGAAAGGUAGAAGGAAUAUCCAGCAAGGAAAGGACUUCUGUGCAAGUUCAUCCCUUCGCAGACAAAUGGCACUUCAUUUAUUCCAUCACCCAUGGAAAUUCAGUUUACUGAAUGAACUGUACUGAAUGUACAAACACAGAGGAUUCAAAUAUGUAUUUGCCUUCUUUUUGUUGGGACAUCAUUUAAACCAUAUUGGGACAUCAUUUAAACAAUAUAAAUAUUUUUCAUAAUUUACUAGUGGACAGUGACUAGUACAAAAUGUUUCAAACAUACUUCCAGUUCACAUCCAGAAAAAGACAUUCUUCUGUAGUACAGUAAAUUAGUGGAGGAUGUAAGUGUGUGCAUUCAAUGUGUUAUAAAGUUUUUUGCUCUGCUUUUUCAUAGUAAUGGCUUGCCUGUUUCAGUCCUGCUAAGCUCUUGAUUGCUGUGACACAUUCUGUUAAUCAUUAUUUUAGAAUAGGAUGUUCAGUUGCUGGACUGUGCUGUCAAAAGAUAUAUGACCGAAACUGAAUGCAUCUCAUCAGCUUGCAAUGUAAAAUGAGAAAGAACAAUGGGUUGUAAAUGAGAAGACAUUGCACCAUGAAGGAAGAGGCAAGGAGGUCUCUGCACAAGUGGUGAAAAUUAAAUUUAAAAAAGAAAGGUUCCUAUUAAAAAUUUCAUUGGGUACUCGAGCACAAGACAGCUGAAAGUAAGCAGCUGAACAGUUUUUUUCCUCCAAAACUAAAUAUUGGGUUUGAUCUAUGAUUGGGCAGUAAAGGAUUAUAAACCAUGCUGUGAGAUUGGAUAUUCUUUUUGUUUUUAUGAUUUUACGGAAACUUAAUGAGCAAAUCCAGGCAUAUACUCCAUGUGUUCUAGCUCUCGUUUCUCCUUGCACAAUUUGUUAUGCGUGUUUUUUCUUGAAGUUGCCAAAAUACAAAUCUGCUGACACUUUUUUGCUCCCAACAUGUUGCAUUUUAAAACUUUAAAUAAUGACUCAAGAUUUGUAUGAAUUUCUUAAUAUACUGUUCUUGUUUCUAUGAAAAACUUUUUUUCUGUGGAAAACAGCUUAUUUUUGUAAAUAACACUCAGCUGUUAUUUUCCAUGUAAUGUCCAUGCUCAAGGUAAAGACUGAGUGGCAGCUGGCAGAUGUCAAUGAGCUGCUUAAUGUGCUAUUCACAAUGUCAUAUUCUCUGUAAACGAUAUUCUAAAAAACCUUUCUGAGUUCUAAAAAGAGUUAUAGAAGUUGAUAACAUUAAAUGAGUGAUGAGGUUUUCUACUUUAUUCAAGUUAUACCAGCAUCAGCCUAAACAAUAAUGUCCCGUUUCACUCACAUCAUCUCCCUCACCCACUGCAAUUACUCUUGGGGGAAACAUGCAGAAAAAGUAGUUGUAAAAAGAAAUUGGGUUAUUCCCAUGCAGUCUGAGUUAAGAUCGUAUUGGUGCAGAAUGCAAAGAUCAAAAUUCUAGAUGCUUAAGUGAGUGCUUCUAGGAAGAAGCAGUUCGAUAAACUGUAGGUGGAUAAAUAAUAUUUUACUUGGGGUCUGCUAAUUACAGAAGGUGUACUCUGUAAUUUUUAGUCAAGUUCAGCUUGCUUAAGAGGGGAAAAAAACCAAAAAGUCUGACUGAGCAUAUAUAAAUUGAGGCAGUUAGCUAAAGGGAAGUCACAAAGAGCAGCUGAAUGGUUUGUGAUGCUGUGCAAUCUGUUUAAAGUCAUUGUAUGAGACUCAGAACUGGAAUGUGGGCUGCAAAAGAAAAGGCUUCAAUUGGCUGACCUCUCACUUCUUCAAAUGGUGCAAUGUAUUAGUGUUGGUUUUAUCUAGAUCAGAAGGCCAUUUCUGUGCCUUGCCUCUCCCAUGUAGCCUGUGUACCUGCAUUCUGCUCUGUGGAAGCCAAGCUGUGAGGGUGUGGAGCGCUCCUGCUUCCCCAGAACAGAACUGGCAAGCAGCCAUCAGCAGUACGGACUGCAGAGCACUCCUCUGUUUGCCAGGCUUUGAUACAGUACCAGCACAACUAAAUUAAAGGUGACACCUUCAAACUUCAGGAAAAAGGAAGUUGUUCACAAUAAAAGGAUGUAAUGCAGAGUGGGAAAAGAGAUCAGAGAGGCUGUCAAGUUAAAUGCAAAAGUAAGAAGGCAAGCCCAAAAAAGACUGUUGAGAAUGAACUUGCCAAAGGCAUUAUACCUAAUAGUAACUAAUGUUCAUGAUAUUAGGGAGCUGAAAGUUUAUCAGUGUUGGUGGGGUCAGUAGCUGAUCAAAAUAUUAAAGUAACAGUUGAAAAAAAUAAAACUGUCAUGUAAAAGUUAAGUAUGUUUGGGCGUUUGGUUUGGGGUUUUUUUUUCAACAUAUUUCACCUUGAAGGUUUUUAGCAAGAGUUACUGAUACUGAAGUAACAGAACUCUGAAAGGAAGAGUUUGAUUGCUUUUUUUAAGGGACUAUUUAUGGUAAUUAUAGCAAGUUUAGGCCAAGAAGUCUGGAUUCUGCAUUGAUCACACUUCAGAAGCAACAGAAGAAACUAGUAUGCUUUUAGCAUAUCUGCUAGUGUACUGGGGAAGGGUUGAUACAGCUUUUCCUGAGGUUACUUCACUCAGUCUGCCGGAGGGUUUUUUAAAUAUCUCAUGGUGCCUUCAAUAUGAAGCAUAUGAUAUAAAUAUGCAUUUUCAGAAUGCUUCA
This is a long non-coding RNA of Melospiza melodia melodia, 9396 nucleotides long. RefSeq lists it as uncharacterized. The record is from RefSeq and is a predicted model, not a curated record. NCBI's taxonomy places the organism in Eukaryota, Metazoa, Chordata, Aves, Passeriformes, Passerellidae. The transcript is spliced from 5 exons.